GUUUAGUCAUGGCUCAGAUUGAACAACUGGCGGGAUGCUUUACACGUACAAGUCGAACGACACCGUAGCACGAGGCUUCGGUCUGGUGGCGAGUGGCGAACGGGUGAGUAAUGUAUCGGAACGUGCCUAGUAGCGGGGGAUAACUACGCCGAAAGCGUAGCUAAUACACCGCCCUUCCGGGGGAAAGCGGGGACCUUCGGGCUCUUUUCAAUGAGCAGCCGAUAUCGAGGUUGGCUAGUUGGUGGGGUAACGGCUCCGCCAGGCGACGAUCCGUAGCUGGUUUGAGAGGACGACCAAUACACUGGGACUGAACGGCCGAACUCUGCGGGAGGCGGCAGUGGGGAAUUUUGGACAAUGGAAACCCUACAGUCCAGCCAUCCGACGUGCGAUGAAGGCCUUCCAGGUUUAUACAAAGCACUUUUGGCAGGAAAGAAACAGCACAGGGUAAUACCCCGUGCAACUGACGAGCACCUGCAGAAUAAGCACCGGCUAACUACGUGCCAGCAGCCGCGGUAAUGCGUGAGUGCAAGCGAUUAAUCAAGGAAUUACUGGGCGUAAAGCGUGCGCGAGCGUUCGGAAAGAACGAUGUGAAAUCUGAAACAACUUUGCAGACUGCAAUUUUAACACAAAGAGCUUCCGGCUGUGUCAGAGGAGAGUGGAAUUCCGCGUGUAACGUAGAAAAUGCGUAGAUAUGCGGAGGAACACCGAUGGCGAAGGCAAUAUCCUGGGAUAACUUACUGACUGACUCAUGCUGAAAGCGAUGGGGAGCAAACGGGAUUAGAUGCCUGGUGAUCACCUAAACGAUAUCCAACUAGCUGUUGGGGCCUUGAGACGUAUUGACGCAGCUAACGCGUGGGAAGUUGACCGCCUGGGAGUACAGUCGCAAGAUUAAACUCAAGGAAUUGACGGAGGACCCGCACAAGCGGUGGAUGAUGUGGAUUAAUUCGAUGCAACGCAAAAACCUUACCUACCCUUGACAUGUCUGGAAUCCCGAAGAGAUUUGGGAGUGCUCUCAAGAGAACCGGAACACCGGUGCUGCCGCGGCUGUCAUCAGCUCGUGUCGUGAGAUGUUGGGUUAAGUCCCAUAACGAGCGCAACCUUGUCGUAGUUGCUACGAAAGGGCACUCUGGCGAGACUGCCGGUGACAACCGGAGGAAGGUGGGGAUGACGUCAUUCCUCGCUAAGCCGCCAUGGGUAAGACCACACGUCAUACAAUGGUCGGGACCAGAGGUCGCCAACCCGCGAAGAGGCCAAUCCCGAAACUUUGAUCGUAGUCCGGAUCGCAGUCUGCGCAACUCGACUGCGUGAAGUCCGGAAUCUUCAGUAAUCGCGGAUCAGCAUGUCGCAGUGAAUACGUUCCCGGGUCUUGUACACCGCCCGUCACACCAUAGAGUGGGUUUACCAAGUAGUUAGCCUAACCGCGAGGAGGGCGAUUACCACGGUAAGUUCCAUGACUGGGGUGAAGUCGUAAACAAGGUAG
RNAcentral lists this ribosomal RNA (1480 nucleotides) under uncultured Bordetella sp. RNAcentral describes it as "partial 16S-23S ribosomal RNA intergenic spacer". It matches the Rfam family "Bacterial small subunit ribosomal RNA". The record is from RNAcentral. Lineage: Bacteria; Pseudomonadati; Pseudomonadota; Betaproteobacteria; Burkholderiales; Alcaligenaceae.